AGAGUUUGAUCCUGGCUCAGGACGAACGCUGGCGGCGUGCUUACCACAUGCAAGUCGAACGGAAAGGCCCCUUCGGGGUGCUCGAGUGGCGAACGGGUGAGUAACACGUGAGUGAUCUGCCUGCACUUGGGAUAAGCCUGGGAAACUGGGUCUAAUACCGAAUAGGACUCCGGGAUGCAUGUUUCGGGGUGGAAAGCUUUGCGGUGUGGGAUGGGCCCGCGGCCUAUCAGCUUGUUGGUGGGGUGAUGGCCUACCAAGGCUUCGACGGGUAGCCGGCCUGAGAGGGUGUCCGGCCACACUGGGACUGAGAUACGGCCCAGACUCCUACGGGAGGCAGCAGUGGGGAAUAUUGCACAAUGGGCGCAAGCCUGAUGCAGCGACGCCGCGUGGGGGAUGACGGCCUUCGGGUUGUAAACCUCUUUCAAUAGGGACGAAGCGCAAGUGACGGUACCUAUAGAAGAAGCACCGGCCAACUACGUGCCAGCAGCCGCGGUAAUACGUAGGGUGCGAGCGUUGUCCGGAAUUACUGGGCGUAAAGGGCUUGUAGGUGGUUUGUCGCGUUGUUCGUGAAAUGCCACAGCUUAACUGUGGGCGUGCGGGCGAUACGGGCAGACUGGAGUACUGCAGGGGAGACUGGAAUUCCUGGUGUAGCGGUGGAAUGCGCAGAUAUCAGGAGGAACACCGGUGGCGAAGGCGGGUCUCUGGGCAGUAACUGACGCUGAGGAGCGAAAGCGUGGGGAGCGAACAGGAUAGAUACCCUGGUAGUCCACACCGUAAACGUUGGGCGCUAGGUGUGGGACUCAUUCCACGAGUUCCGUGCCGCAGCUAACGCAUUAAGCGCCCCGCCUGGGGAGUACGGCCGCAAGGCUAAAACUCAAAGGAAUUGACGG
RNAcentral lists this ribosomal RNA (890 nucleotides) under uncultured bacterium. Its description in RNAcentral is "bacterial SSU rRNA". It matches the Rfam family "Bacterial small subunit ribosomal RNA", at positions 8 to 916 of the family's 1533-position model. The record is from RNAcentral.